Molecule: ribosomal RNA, 466 nt
Filed under: uncultured bacterium
Lineage: Bacteria
Description: bacterial SSU rRNA
Rfam family: Bacterial small subunit ribosomal RNA
Source: RNAcentral
AUUGAACGCUGGCGGCAUGCUUUACACAUGCAAGUCGAGCGGCAGCGCGGGGCAACCUGGUGGCGAGUGGCGAACGGGUGAGUAAUGCAUCGGAACGUGCCAUUGAGUGGGGGAUAACGUAGCGAAAGUUGCGCUAAUACCGCAUAUUCUGUGAGCAGGAAAGCAGGGGACCGCAAGGCCUUGCGCUCUUUGAGCGGCCGAUGUCAGAUUAGCUAGUUGGCGAGUAACGGCUCACCAAGGCUUCGACGGGUAGCUGGUCUGAGAGGACGAUCAGCCACACUGGCACUGCGACACGGGCCAGACUCCUACGGGAGGCAGCAGUAAGGAAUAUUGCGCAAUGGGCGACAGCCUGACGCAGCGACGCCGCGUGGGGGAUGAAGGUCUUCGGGUUGUAAACUCCUUUUCGGGGGGACGAUACAGACGGUACCCCGGAACUAAGGCUCGGCUAACUACUGUGCCAGCAGCC